Long non-coding RNA from Ornithodoros turicata, 299 nucleotides. RefSeq lists it as uncharacterized. The record is from RefSeq and is a predicted model, not a curated record. The transcript is spliced from 3 exons. NCBI's taxonomy places the organism in Eukaryota, Metazoa, Arthropoda, Arachnida, Ixodida, Argasidae.
UGAAGAACAGGAGAAAAAGGACCUCGUGGAAAUUCCUGGUAGACACGUUCAGUCAAUUGCCUCACAUAAAAGCGUUGAGGCGCUUAAUAGCUCAAUUGUUGAAUACCCUGGGACCAACGAGUCCGACAUCGUCUUCGUAUUAACGAGAAAGGUCCUCAUCAAUGAAAGUUCUCAAGAGUGGUAUUGGGAUCUCAGGUAAGCGAUGGGUCGUCGUCUUGGUCACCUUCGAAUGGUUCCGACGACUGGGCUGACGUACUUUGGAUUGAACCACGCGGCAUCGCGUCACCAGCACGCGUGGC